RNAcentral lists this long non-coding RNA (420 nucleotides) under Amborella trichopoda. RNAcentral describes it as "long non-coding RNA (ATRI_LNC001644)". Lineage: Eukaryota; Viridiplantae; Streptophyta; Magnoliopsida; Amborellales; Amborellaceae. The record is from RNAcentral.
CAGGAGCCAUUAAAGCCACUGACCAUCUGGUGAGAACCAACUGGGGCAUCAAAGGAAUCCCGAUUGGAGAGAGAGAGCGGGUCCAUCAGGAUUCAGACCAAACUUCCCCAUAAUACGCCGACCGAAACAUGAUUCAUAGCAAAGAGAGGAGCAAGGAAUAGAGGGAGUGAGCUAAUCCAUAAGACUCAACUCGUUAGAAAGAGUGAGAGAGGCGUGGUACGAGAGAGAGCAUUUUAAGGUGAAUAAGGCUAAAAGAGAAAGGAGUAGUGCCUCAUGUCCCUCAAUAAAAACCAUGGAAUGAACGGCGAGAAAGAGAAAGGCUCAAAGUAGGUUACCAUGUGCUCAAAGUAGGCUACCAUGUGCUCAAAGUAGGUUACCAUGAGACAAAGGCAUGAGUGCGAGAGAGUGACCAUUUUAAAG